This 455-nucleotide ribosomal RNA is filed under the name uncultured bacterium. RNAcentral's name for it is "SSU rRNA". It matches the Rfam family "Bacterial small subunit ribosomal RNA", at positions 26 to 518 of the family's 1533-position model. The record is from RNAcentral.
AGGAUGAACGCUGGCGGCGUGCCUAAUACAUGCAAGUCGAGCGGUAAGGUCCCUUCGGGGAUACACGAGCGGCGGACGGCUGAGUAACACGUAGGAACGUACCCCAAACUGAGGGAUAAGCACCAGAAAUGGUGUCUAAUACCGCAUGUGAUCUUCGGAUUAAAGCUUCGGCGGUUUGGGAACGGCCUGCGCAUGAUUAGCUUGUUGGUGAGGUAAUGGCUCACCAAGGCGACGAUCAUUAGCUGGUCUGAGAGGAUGAUCAGCCAGACUGGAACUGAGAACGGUCCAGACUCCUACGGGAGGCAGCAGUAGGGAAUUUUCCACAAUGGACGAAAGUCUGAUGGAGCAACGCCGCGUGCAGGAUGAAGGCUUUCGGGUCGUAAACUGCUUUUAUAUGUGACGAUUAUGACGGUAGCAUAUGAAUAAGGAUCGGCUAACUCCGUGCCAGCAGCCGC